This 517-nucleotide ribosomal RNA is filed under the name uncultured bacterium. RNAcentral describes it as "partial 16S ribosomal RNA". It matches the Rfam family "Bacterial small subunit ribosomal RNA", at positions 355 to 861 of the family's 1533-position model. The record is from RNAcentral.
UGGGGAAUAUUGGACAACGGGCGCAAGCCUGAUCCAGCAAUGCCGCGUGUGUGAAGAAGGCCUUCGGGUUGUAAAGCACUUUUAUCAGGAGCGAAACGCUGUCGGCUAAUACCCGGCGGAACUGACGGUACCUGAGGAAUAAGCACCGGCUAACUUCGUGCCAGCAGCCGCGGUAAUACGAAGGGUGCAAGCGUUAAUCGGAAUUACUGGGCGUAAAGCGUGCGUAGGCGGUUUCUUAAGUCUGCUGUGAAAUCCCCGGGCUCAACCUGGGAAUGGCAGUGGAUACUGGGAGGCUAGAGUGUGUCAGAGGGUGGUGGAAUUCCCGGUGUAGCGGUGAAAUGCGUAGAGAUCGGGAGGAACAUCAGUGGCGAAGGCGGCCACCUGGGGACAACACUGACGCUGAGGCACGAAAGCGUGGGGAGCAAACAGGAUUAGAUACCCUGGUAGUCCACGCCCUAAAGCGAUGCGAACUGGAUGUUGGUCUCAACUCGGAGAUCAGUGUCGAAGCUAACGCGUU